Molecule: non-coding RNA, 73 nt
Organism: Salmo salar (Atlantic salmon)
Lineage: Eukaryota; Metazoa; Chordata; Actinopteri; Salmoniformes; Salmonidae
Source: Rfam
UCCCAUGUGGCUCAGUUGGUAGAGCAUGGUGUUUGCAACGCCAGGGUUGUGGGUUUCGAUUCCCACGGGGGAC